UUUUCUCUAAAAUUCCUUUCCAGGGGA
RNAcentral lists this non-coding RNA (27 nucleotides) under Mus musculus (house mouse). Lineage: Eukaryota; Metazoa; Chordata; Mammalia; Rodentia; Muridae. The record is from RNAcentral.